AUUGAACGCUGGCGGCGUGCUUAACACAUGCAAGUCGAGCGGUAAGGCCCCUUCGGGGGUACGACGAGCGGCGAACGGGUGAGUAACACGUGGGUGACCUGCCCUCAGCUCUGGGGAUAAGCCUGGGGAAACUGGGUCUAAUACCGGAUAUGACUCCAUGACGCAUGUCGUGGGGGUGGAAAGCCUUGUGCGGCUGGGGAUGGGCCCGCGGCCUAUCAGCUUGUUGGGGGGGGUG
RNAcentral lists this ribosomal RNA (235 nucleotides) under uncultured bacterium. RNAcentral's name for it is "partial 16S ribosomal RNA". It matches the Rfam family "Bacterial small subunit ribosomal RNA", at positions 28 to 260 of the family's 1533-position model. The record is from RNAcentral.